GCACGCCUAGCUCAGCUGGUUAGAGCGCCUCGUUUACACCGAGGAGGUCAGGGGUUCGACUCCCUUGGCGUGCACCA
Molecule: transfer RNA, 77 nt
Filed under: Candidatus Magasanikiibacteriota bacterium
Lineage: Bacteria; Candidatus Magasanikiibacteriota
Description: tRNA-Val
Rfam family: tRNA
About the family: Transfer RNA (tRNA) molecules are approximately 80 nucleotides in length. Their secondary structure includes four short double-helical elements and three loops (D, anti-codon, and T loops). Further hydrogen bonds mediate the characteristic L-shaped molecular structure. tRNAs have two regions of fundamental functional importance: the anti-codon, which is responsible for specific mRNA codon recognition, and the 3' end, to which the tRNAs corresponding amino acid is attached (by aminoacyl-tRNA synthetases). tRNAs cope with the degeneracy of the genetic code in two manners: having more than one tRNA (with a specific anti-codon) for a particular amino acid; and 'wobble' base-pairing, i.e. permitting non-standard base-pairing at the 3rd anti-codon position.
Source: RNAcentral